RNAcentral lists this ribosomal RNA (253 nucleotides) under uncultured bacterium. RNAcentral's name for it is "partial 16S ribosomal RNA". It matches the Rfam family "Bacterial small subunit ribosomal RNA", at positions 524 to 776 of the family's 1533-position model. The record is from RNAcentral.
UACAGAGGGUGCAAGCGUUACUCGGAAUUACUGGGCGUAAAGCGUGCGUAGGUGGUUUUUUAAGUCAGGUGUGAAAUCCCUGGGCUCAACCUGGGAACUGCAUUUGAUACUGGAAAGCUAGAGUGUGGUAGAGGAUGGUGGAAUUCCCGGUGUAGCGGUGAAAUGCGUAGAUAUCGGGAGGAACAUCAGUGGCGAAGGCGGCCAUCUGGACCAACACUGACACUGAGGCACAAAAGCGUGGGGAGCAAACAGG